Molecule: non-coding RNA, 500 nt
Organism: Cinara cedri
Lineage: Eukaryota; Metazoa; Arthropoda; Insecta; Hemiptera; Aphididae
Source: the annotation of a GenBank genome assembly
GAUAUUUCUAAGCCGAUUUUCGAACAUCCGACCAUGGCAAACGAAAGAGCAUACUUUUUUCUAUAUAAUGGCAUAUUCUUUAGAGAUUUUUUCUAAAUAGUUAAAAUUUUAUGAGGAAUAUAGACAAAAUUUUAGUAUCGUUCGUUAGCGAAUUUUCACGGUUUUUUCAAUACUAAAUUGAAAAAAAGUGAUACUUCUAAGCCGAAUUUCGAACAUCGGUCAAUUCCAAACGAAAGAGCAUACUUUUUUCUAUAUAAUGGCAUAUUCUUUAGAGAACUUUUCUAAAUAUUUAAAAUUUUAUGAAGAACAUAGGCAAAAUUUUAGUAUCGUUCGAUAGCGAAUUUUCACGGUUUUUUCAAUAUUAAAUUGAAAAAAAGUGAUACUUCUAAGCCGAUUUUCGAACAUCGGUCAAUUCCAAACGAAAGAGCAUACUUUUUUCUAUAUAAUGGCAUAUUCUUUAGAGAACUUUUUCAAAUAGUUAAAAUUUUAUGGAAAAUAUA